This 233-nucleotide ribosomal RNA is filed under the name uncultured bacterium. Its description in RNAcentral is "partial 16S ribosomal RNA". It matches the Rfam family "Bacterial small subunit ribosomal RNA", at positions 122 to 354 of the family's 1533-position model. The record is from RNAcentral.
UAACCUGCCUUGGAGUGGGGAAUAACAGCUGGAAACAGCUGCUAAUACCGCAUGAUGCAGUUGAGUCGCAUGGCUCUGACUGCCAAAGAUUUAUCGCUCUGAGAUGGACUCGCGUCUGAUUAGCUAGUUGGUGGGGCAACGGCCCACCAAGGCGACGAUCAGUAGCCGGACUGAGAGGUUGGCCGGCCACAUUGGGACUGAGACACGGCCCAGACUCCUACGGAAGGCAGCAG